This 76-nucleotide transfer RNA is filed under the name Candidatus Peregrinibacteria bacterium. Its description in RNAcentral is "tRNA-Arg". It matches the Rfam family "tRNA". Rfam says of the family: Transfer RNA (tRNA) molecules are approximately 80 nucleotides in length. Their secondary structure includes four short double-helical elements and three loops (D, anti-codon, and T loops). Lineage: Bacteria; Candidatus Peregrinibacteriota. The record is from RNAcentral.
GCGCCUGUAGCUCAGGGGAUAGAGCGUCCGGUUGCGGUCCGGGAGGUCACAGGUUCGAUUCCUGUCAGGCGCACCA